This 926-nucleotide ribosomal RNA is filed under the name uncultured organism. RNAcentral's name for it is "bacterial SSU rRNA". It matches the Rfam family "Bacterial small subunit ribosomal RNA", at positions 1 to 917 of the family's 1533-position model. The record is from RNAcentral.
UGGAUCCAGACUUUGAUCCUGGCUCAGGAUGAACGCUAGCUACAGGCUUAACACAUGCAAGUCGAGGGGAAACGACAUCGAAAGCUUGCUUUUGAUGGGCGUCGACCGGCGCACGGGUGAGUAACGCGUAUCCAACCUGCCCACCACUUGGGGAUAACCUUGCGAAAGUAAGACUAAUACUCAAUGAUAUCUCUAGAAGACAUCUGAAAGGGAUUAAAGAUUUAUCGGUGAUGGAUGGGGAUGCGUCUGAUUAGCUUGUUGGCGGGGUAACGGCCCACCAAGGCGACGAUCAGUAGGGGUUCUGAGAGGAAGGUCCCCCACAUUGGAACUGAGACACGGUCCAAACUCCUACGGGAGGCAGCAGUGAGGAAUAUUGGUCAAUGGGCGAGAGCCUGAACCAGCCAGGUAGCGUGCAGGAUGACGGCCCUAUGGGUUGUAAACUGCUUUUAUAAGGGAAUAAAGUGAGCCUCGUGAGGCUUUUUGCAUGUACCUUAUGAAUAAGGACCGGCUAAUUCCGUGCCAGCAGCCGCGGUAAUACGGAAGGUCCGGGCGUUAUCCGGAUUUAUUGGGUUUAAAGGGAGCGUAGGCCGGAGAUUAAGCGUGUUGUGAAAUGUAGACGCUCAACGUCUGCACUGCAGCGCGAACUGGUUUCCUUGAGUACGCACAAAGUGGGCGGAAUUCGUGGUGUAGCGGUGAAAUGCUUAGAUAUCACGAAGAACUCCGAUUGCGAAGGCAGCUCACUGGAGCGCAACUGACGCUGAAGCUCGAAAGUGCGGGUAUCGAACAGGAUUAGAUACCCUGGUAGUCCGCACGGUAAACGAUGGAUGCCCGCUGUUGGUCUGAAUAGGUCAGCGGCCAAGCGAAAGCAUUAAGCAUCCCACCUGGGGAGUACGCCGGCAACGGUGCAACUCAAAGGAAUUGACGGA